AUCAAUAUUUGGACAUUAUAGGAAAAUAUUCUACAGGGUUGUGUGAGUGUGGUCCUGAAAGAGUCAAGUUUCCAGUGUCAGACCUAGGAUUCAUGUGUUUACCUGUUAAAUCUUUGACUAUACAGUCUAUGUUCUAUAAAUGUGAUUAAAAUUGUUUUUUUGUUUUUUUUUUUAACCCGCAGAGGGCAGUAUUGCGCCUAGUAGCGCCUAUACCGCUAAAACCCAACCAAGAGGAAGAAGAUAAUUAGACAAAGGGGGAUCAGGUGUGUCAGGUUCCCCCAAAGGUCUGGAUUGUCUGCUGCUCCCGAAAUGUUUGUCAUGUCGCUUGGGUAGGAUACUCUCAGCACACUACUGGUCCCUGGCCAUGGUGGCCUCCUCGUUGAAGCCCCUGUGUCCCCAUCCACAUCUAGCAGUUCUAGGCAUUUAACAAUAGCCAGAGUGGCACUCAAAUGAUCAUGGACUCAACAGUUUUAGAUUUUUGACUGAGUGUGUUCACUUGAGCUUCAGGGAAAAGCCUAAUGAUGGCAUUUUACACUGUUUUUGAAAUUUUAUGCACUGAACAAUAAAUAUUAAGAUGACCUGA
Molecule: long non-coding RNA, 583 nt
Organism: Lates calcarifer (barramundi perch)
Lineage: Eukaryota; Metazoa; Chordata; Actinopteri; Centropomidae
Exons: 2
Source: RefSeq, a predicted model, not a curated record